CUAAUAGUCUCGUCUGUCGACCUUUGCACUCUGAAAGACUGAAGUCUUGGUGGCGUAAGAUUUUGGUCAAAAUGAGCGUGUAAGGUGAUCUAUAAAUAGCUAAAGUGUGCAGAAAACGGCUUCGAAAUGAUUUCGUAAGGCAUGAUUUUAUUUUGAACUUUCAAGAUUGCAGUUUCUUGUAACUUUUCCGAAGUAUCCAAUCCCCUUUCAAAGAUCUGAUCACAUGACUUCAGCGGGAAACAAAGGCCUGUUGGGAGUGGCGGGAGAAAGUCGUCUUUGUCUCCAAACUUUCUCUGUAUGCGAACCUUGAUGAAAUCUGGACAUGUUGCUAUUGUUUCUUCGACGAAGGAAGGAUUUUUGUCAACACUUUCAUUCAGACAGAGUCGACUUAUAUCCUGAAACUGCUCUGAGGCUGUAUAUUUUCUGCAUUCCGUCUCCCGAACUUUGCGACUUCCGGGUUUUGGUCCGAAACAUUCCUGCACAUGCUGGUCUGUCGUCUGCGGAGGACCGUUAUCCGACAUUUGGCGCUGAUAUUGUCACCAGGACUUGGAUUUUCGACGUAUAGGACUUUUCUUCAGAAUGUGCAGGCAGUUACCAAUGUAGUCAAGAGAUUGGCACUAAUGCGAUGUGUGGUAGCCUCAUUUUAGCAGCCCUUUCCUUACUGUUUUCGUGAAAUUCCUUUGUUUCGGAAUUUGCUCCAUGAUACCGGUGGUCGAAUGAACAGUCAUCAGAGCCUGGCCUGGAUGUGUUUUCUGUGGAAGUGUUGUCGACAUUUACUAAUAAUCUGCAGUAUUACAUCCAGUAGGACGACAAAGCAUGAUGAGGAGGGACAAACUCACAAAGGGAGGAGACAGACAGGGGACCAGUGAUGACGGCGACACCGGAGAUGUAGGAAAGGUCUGAAACUACAGGACACCCCCACCGGAUGUGAUAUGGACAGUCCCCGGUUGCCUCCAUCCCCCCAGGCAAGGUGGCUCACUCCCAGCUGCUGUGGUGGUGAUUAGCUGGGCAGGGGGCGGGGCAGAUUGUUGACCAGAAAACUGAAGGAAGAGAAGAAGACAUGUCAGCGGUCUGAAGUGAAAACACUGUAGUUUCCAAUGUGAGAAAGUCAGCUAGCCUUGAGAGUCCAAGCAAUGUUUCAUCAGACCAUUCACAUGCUGCGUAAAGGAGACUGUUGCGAAUAAGGAGGAAGGGAUUGAUGCAUGGUUUAUUGACGUGAUAAAUAAAUGUCAGUUUAUGAUGUCAAUAAAUCUACCAGACACAUUAUACUUGUACUCCUCUGCAAAAUAGGCUGCAUCUAUCUAGCACACAGCAGGUGGGAGAAUAUGCAUCAGCAUAAUUCUGUUUGAUUUCGUCCUCCAUAUUCCAGUUGGAAGAAUAAGUAGGUCAGGCCAAACAAUUCCCAUAACCUUUGCAAAGCUGGCGGACCAAGGUCUGCUGGUUACAUGGAAUAUUUCAUGCUCUUGAGCCACUUCCAUGAUUAUGAGCUCAGGGGCGACCUUUGGGCUGACCCACAAGUUGGUUGCCAUGGUUACUGGCUGCUAUCAGGGGCAUAAGUAAUUAUGUGGACAGUGUCUGAAGAUGGGAGGGGUGCCAGAGUUGCAGAAGAGAUCACGGGUACCUGCCAUGUUGACUAUCUUGCCAGACGGCGCUGAUAACAUUGCAGCGCAAAGGACUGAUUAUUGCGGCCAUUCAUUUAAGUAAUUAAAUUCUUCUGAAAGUCCAUCUCACUGAAAAGGGGAUUUUAUAAAUCAUGUACAACUUUGUUGGCAAUUGUUGUGACAUUGAAGUUGUCUCUGACUUUUCCAUUCCUUCUGUAUAAUGCCAACCCACGAUACAAGGUCUCUCCUUACAAUGUAAACUGUGCCGGUUUUGCCUAAAGAACACUUUAACAGUAAUUCCCUUUAUCUACUACAACUAAGCCCUCUAGACCUGUGAAAAUCUGUAGAAUUCAAAGUCACUUCUUAACAGCUUUAAUGCAUAUUAGAUUCAACUUCCCAUACAAGGCACUGAAGCAGGAAUUAGCAAGUAAAUGUCACUGUAGCACUAGAAGAUGAUUUGAAGCCUGUGAAUUAUCACUA
Long non-coding RNA from Branchiostoma floridae (Florida lancelet), 2081 nucleotides. RefSeq lists it as uncharacterized. Lineage: Eukaryota; Metazoa; Chordata; Leptocardii; Amphioxiformes; Branchiostomatidae. The record is from RefSeq and is a predicted model, not a curated record. The transcript has 5 exons.